UACGAAGGGGGGCUAGCGUUGUUUCGGAGUUACUGGGCGUAAAGGGCGCGUAGGCGGCGCAUCAAGUCAGGCGUGAAAGCCCUGGGCUCAACCCGGGAAUUGCGCUUGAGACUGGUGUGCUUGAGUACGGGAGAGGAUAGUGGAAUUCCCAGUGUAGAGGUGAAAUUCGUAGAUAUUGGGGAAGAACACCAGUGGCGAAGGCGGCUAUCUGGACCGUAACUGACGCUGAGGCGCGAAAAGCGUGGGG
RNAcentral lists this ribosomal RNA (247 nucleotides) under uncultured bacterium. RNAcentral's name for it is "partial 16S ribosomal RNA". It matches the Rfam family "Bacterial small subunit ribosomal RNA", at positions 524 to 766 of the family's 1533-position model. The record is from RNAcentral.